GGCUAUGAACAAACCAGGACACUAAAACAAGAAAGUCAUGUCUUGAGAAGAGAGAAUUUGUGCAUCCGUCUGUACGUCCAGCGGUCUGUGAGUCUGUUUGUUCAAGAACGCCUCCAGAAGGCUCUAUUGAAAUGUGGACUGCUUGCCUAUACAGGAGAGUAAGAGG
Molecule: non-coding RNA, 166 nt
Organism: Pelodiscus sinensis (Chinese soft-shelled turtle)
Lineage: Eukaryota; Metazoa; Chordata; Testudines; Trionychidae
Source: RefSeq, a predicted model, not a curated record